Molecule: non-coding RNA, 24 nt
Filed under: Arabidopsis thaliana (thale cress)
Lineage: Eukaryota; Viridiplantae; Streptophyta; Magnoliopsida; Brassicales; Brassicaceae
Source: RNAcentral
UCGCUAACGAUCAAAUGACUAGGU